AAUCAACGCUGGCGGGUGCCUAACACAUGCAAGUCGAACGAGAAAGUGGAGCAAUCCAUGAGUACAGUGGCGACCGGGUGAGUAACACGUGACUAACCUACCCUCGAGUGGGGAAUAACUCCGGGAAACCGGAGCUAAUACCGCAUAACAUCGCAAGAUCAAAGCCGAAAGGCGCUUGAGGAGGGGGUCGCGGCUGAUUAGCUAGUUGGUAGGGUAAUGGCCUACCAAGGCAAAGAUCGGUAUCCGGCCUGAGAGGGCGCACGGACACACUGGAACUGAAACACGGUCCAGACUCCUACGGGAGGCAGCAGUGGGGAAUUUUGCGCAAUGGGGGAAACCCUGACGCAGCAACGCCGCGUGGAGGAUGAAGUCCCUUGGGACGUAAACUCCUUUCGACCCGGACGAUACUGACGGUACGGGUGGAAGAAGCACCGGCUAACUCUGUGCCAGCAGCCGCGGUAAUACAGAGGGUGCGAGCGUUGUUCGGAAUUAUUGGGCGUAAAGGGCGCGUAGGCGGUGCGGUAAGUCACCUGUGAAAUCUCCUGGCUCAACUGGGAGCUUGCAGGCGAAACUGCCGUGCUGGAGUGUGGGAGAGGUGCGUGGAAUUCCCGGUGUAGCGGUGAAAUGCGUAGAUAUCGGGCGGAACACCUGUGGCGAAAAGCGGCGCACUGGACACAACUGACGCUGAAGGCGCGAAAGCUAGGGGAGC
This 709-nucleotide ribosomal RNA is filed under the name uncultured soil bacterium. RNAcentral describes it as "bacterial SSU rRNA". It matches the Rfam family "Bacterial small subunit ribosomal RNA", at positions 28 to 769 of the family's 1533-position model. The record is from RNAcentral.